This 2042-nucleotide ribosomal RNA is filed under the name human gut metagenome. RNAcentral's name for it is "bacterial LSU rRNA". It matches the Rfam family "Bacterial large subunit ribosomal RNA", at positions 3 to 2070 of the family's 2925-position model. The record is from RNAcentral.
UUAAGUUAAUAAGGGCGCACGGUGGAUGCCUUGGCACUAGAAGCCGAAGAAGGACGUGACAAACGACGAAAUGCUUUGGGGAGCUGUAAGUAAGCGACGAUCCAGAGAUGUCCGAAUGGGGGAACCCACUAGCUGAUGGCUAGUACUCCUAUCUGUUAAGGAUAGGUAGAGGAAGACGCAGUGAACUGAAACAUCUAAGUAGCUGCAGGAAGAGAAAGCAAAAGCGAUUGCCUGAGUAGCGGCGAGCGAAACGGCAGGAGGGCAAACCGAAGAGUUUACUCUUCGGGGUUGUAGGACUGCAAUGUGGACUUAAAGAUUAUAGAAGAAUGACAUGGGAAGGUCAGCCAAAGAGAGUAAGAGCCUCGUAUUCGAAAUAGUCUUUAUACCUAGCAGUAUCCUGAGUACGGCGGGACACGAGAAAUCCCGUCGGAAUCUGGGAGGACCAUCUCCCAACCCUAAAUACUCUCUAGUGACCGAUAGUGAACCAGUACCGUGAGGGAAAGGUGAAAAGCACCCCGGGAGGGGAGUGAAAUAGAACCUGAAACCGUGUGCCUACAACAAGUUCGAGCCCGUUAAUGGGUGAGAGCGUGCCUUUUGUAGAAUGAACCGGCGAGUUACGAUAUGAUGCGAGGUUAAGUUGAAGAGACGGAGCCGUAGGGAAACCGAGUCUGAAUAGGGCGCAAUAGUAUUAUGUCGUAGACCCGAAACCAUGUGACCUACCCAUGAGCAGGUUGAAGGUGAGGUAAAACUCACUGGAGGACCGAACCAGGGCACGUUGAAAAGUGCUUGGAUGACUUGUGGGUAGCGGAGAAAUUCCAAACGAACUUGGAGAUAGCUGGUUCUCUCCGAAAUAGCUUUAGGGCUAGCGUCGACAUUAAGAUUCUUGGAGGUAGAGCACUGUUUGGGUGAGGGGUCCAUCCCGGAUUACCAAUCUCAGAUAAACUCCGAAUGCCAAUGAAUUAUGGUCGGCAGUCAGACUGCGAGUGCUAAGAUCCGUAGUCGAAAGGGAAACAGCCCAGACCACCAGCUAAGGUCCCAAAAUAAUUGUUAAGUGGAAAAGGAUGUGGGGUUGCACAGACAACUAGGAUGUUAGCUUAGAAGCAGCUAUUCAUUCAAAGAGUGCGUAAUAGCUCACUAGUCGAGUGACCCUGCGCCGAAAAUGUACCGGGGCUAAAACAAUUUACCGAAGCUGUGGAUACCUUUAUAGGUAUGGUAGGAGAGCGUUCUAUGUGUGGAGAAGGUGUACCGUGAGGAGCGCUGGAACGCAUAGAAGUGAGAAUGCCGGUAUGAGUAGCGAAAGACAGGUGAGAAUCCUGUCCACCGUAAGACUAAGGUUUCCAGGGGAAGGCUCGUCCGCCCUGGGUUAGUCGGGACCUAAGGAGAGACCGAAAGGUGUAUCCGAUGGACAACAGGUUGAUAUUCCUGUACUAGAGUAUGUAGUGAAGGAGGGACGCAGUAGGCUAACUAAAGCGUGCGACUGGAAGUGCACGUCUAAGCAGUGAGGUGUGAAUUGAGUUAAAUGCUUAAUUCUAUAACAUUGAGCUGUGAUGGGGAGCGAAGUUUAGUAGCGAAGUUAGUGACGUCACACUGCCAAGAAAAGCUUCUAGCGUUAAUCAUACUCUACCCGUACCGCAAACCGACACAGGUAGUCGAGGCGAGUAGCCUCAGGUGAGCGAGAGAACUCUCGUUAAGGAACUCGGCAAAAUGACCCCGUAACUUCGGGAGAAGGGGUGCUGGCUUAAAGUCAGCCGCAGUGAAUAGGCCCAAGCAACUGUUUAUCAAAAACACAGCUCUCUGCUAAAUCGUAAGAUGAUGUAUAGGGGGUGACGCCUGCCCGGUGCUGGAAGGUUAAGAGGAGUGCUUAGCGUAAGCGAAGGUAUGAAUUGAAGCCCCAGUAAACGGCGGCCGUAACUAUAACGGUCCUAAGGUAGCGAAAUUCCUUGUCGGGUAAGUUCCGACCCGCACGAAAGGCGUAAUGAUUUGGGCACUGUCUCAACGAGAGACUCGGUGAAAUUUUAGUACCUGUGAAGAUGCAGGUUACC